AUUAAUACAUUAAUUAUAACUGCUAUAGACCUUUAACCUUAUCUUCUUUUUUUCUUUUCCUUUUUUAAAUUAUUAUUGCUAUAGCCUUAUCCAUUUUCCCUUUAUUAACUCCUUUUCACAUUCAAAUUUCAAAUCAGGAAACUUUUACAGUCUCUAUUUAAAACCAGAACUUCCCCACCACUGCUUUCCAGAUCUAAAUCUCAAAUAUCUUUCCAAACAAAAUCCAGAAUCUUCUUCAAUGGCGGUUCGAACUCUAUACGGAUUGGUGUUCUUAGCAGCGUCAAGCACUUGCUUCAUCUUCCUCUACCUUCUUCUUCAACCUAUCUUCUACUUCACCGCCUAACACGGCGGCGGAGCUAUGAACCGGCCCCGAUUUGGACCGAUCGCAGAUGAGUCGACGAACCGGAAACAUUUUUACCUCCGUCGCCACCUUCUGCUUCCAAAUCCUUACACGGCGGCAACACGCGAUUCCGGCGGGUCGGUUCGUAGAGUAAUACAAGUAUGUUGAAUGUACAGCGUUUAUAUUUGGAAGAAAAAACAGAGAUAUUUGCCUUUUAUUUUGGAUUUUGCUUUUUAUUUUGAUGGAUCUGGAUUUGAUUUGUCUGAUCUCGUUUGUGUAAGUUGACCUGCGUGAAAAUAGCUUAGUUAUGUUGCUUAAUCAUUGAUUACCUCGUCUCAUAGCUUAAAUUACAAAUAUACUUGUUAGCUAGACUUAAUUACCUUCCAAUUUGAAUUCAGAAAAUUGGAAUAUCUUUGUACUAGCAACUGAUACAAAACAUUUUGAUAUGUUUGCAAGUUCUUAUCAAAAAUAUAUUCCAAUUUAUUUAUGUUUUUUUGUUUUGAAUAUGAUUAAUAAGAUUGAGAAUGAAACUGUAUGGAUUCUGAUCUGAAAUGGUAAUAGAACUUUUGAACAUUUCAGACUUUUUUCUGAUGUAAAAUUUUGGCCUGGUAUAUGUAUAGUUUGGAAACAGCCCUCUCGGAUAUGGGUAAGGCUCGUCUACAUAUUAUCCUCCCCAGACCCCACAUGGUGGGAGUAUAUUGGGUAGUUGUUGUUGUUAUAUGUAUAGUUUGGGUGAAAAUCGAACUUGUGAACCUGAUAUGGAUCCAUAUCCGUGGGCAUUGAUAGAAUCAGUUCAAAUUCAAGAUAUAAAAACGUCUAUGAUUAUCUUUAAUAUAUAAUCCAAUAUAAGUAUAUUUGUCUAAUUAGAACGAUUUUAUCGACCUUAUAUUUAGAGGCAACUCUUUUGAUUCAAACUUAAAUAUUUACGGUUUUUAAAUUAUGCGUUCAGAUAUAUUAUUUGUUACUUUUUAGUGAAUUUUUUUGUAUGUUUCGCAUAAAAAUAACUGUGUUCAAAUGAGUUCGAUGCUGCAACACCUCCACUUAUAAGUUAUAUAACAGUGGACCGCAUAAGAAACACUAGGCAAUGGCCCAUUUUCUCUAACAACGCUGUUGCGAGUGUGUUUACUUGUGUAUGUGUAGUAUGACAAUUUCAAUGGGGUUGAACUCCCGCAUAAACUUGUGCUUAGUCGGUUACAGCUUGUUUGGGUGGUUGUUACACAUAUUAAUAAAACUUUUUCCUCAAGAUCAAACUUAAGCAUUGUUGGAAUCUAUUUCUUUGAAGAUCAAAUAUCACACGACAAUUUGUGUCAUCAUCUAUUGGAUGAUUAUAUUAGUUUAGCCCUCAAAUCAAAGAAGACGGGAAUAAAAGCUUCGACAUUAAGUCUAAAGUGCUAUCAAACUUUUCUUGAUGACCGACUAAUGUACAAGGAGAUUGUCGUCCUUCCUCAUUCGAGAAAUAUGAUACUUUUGCUAUUGAACGAAAAAAGAAAAAGAUAAUUAUAUUAUAAUCAUAAUAAAGAGAAGAUCAAUGGGUACUCGCAGUUGUAUUCUCACACUUGUGAAGGAACUAAUUGCCUACAUAUGUUUCGUAAUUCCAAUUAUUUUCUUCACCCGAAAUAUGUUUUUUCUUUUUUUGAUAAUUAAGGAUUUCCAUUAAUCAUCAAUGAAAGAGCUUUACAAAAUCACAGUCGAGCUUUCAACUCAGCUGACUGUCUAGGGGUUAACAUACAUACUAUUUCUACUUUCCAACCUAUCUAGCACCACUAUAUGUGAAAGUGUUGUAAUAUUUGUCUAAUUUUUGGGGUACCUUUAACGUUACAAUUAUACACUAUGUCUCUUAGUAAGUCAGUGUUGCAUCGGAAUAUUUUGUUGAAGACUCUUGCAUUUCUUUCCAGCCAGAUAGCAUAUGCAAACUCAGCUGUGACCAAUUUGAAGAUGGCAGCUCGGGGU
Molecule: long non-coding RNA, 2290 nt
Filed under: Nicotiana benthamiana
Lineage: Eukaryota; Viridiplantae; Streptophyta; Magnoliopsida; Solanales; Solanaceae
Description: long non-coding RNA (NBEN_LNC014548)
Source: RNAcentral